AGUGAACGCUGGCGGUAGGCCUAACACAUGCAAGUCGAACGGCAGCACAGUAAGAGCUUGCUCUUACGGGUGGCGAGUGGCGGACGGGUGAGGAAUACAUCGGAAUCUACUUUUUCGUGGGGGAUAACGUAGGGAAACUUACGCUAAUACCGCAUACGACCUACGGGUGAAAGCAGGGGAUCUUCGGACCUUGCGCGAUUGAAUGAGCCGAUGUCGGAUUAGCUAGUUGGCGGGGUAAAGGCCCACCAAGGCGACGAUCCGUAGCUGGUCUGAGAGGAUGAUCAGCCACACUGGAACUGAGAAACGGUCCAGACUCCUACGGGAGGAAGCAGUGGGGAAUAUUGGACAAUGGGCGAAAGCCUGAUCCAGCCAUACCGCGUGGGUGAAGAAGGCCUUCGGGUUUUAAAGCCCUUUUGUUGGGAAAGAAAAGCAGCAGGUUAAUACCCCGCUGUUCUGACGGUACCCAAAGAAUAAGCAACGGCUAACUUCGUG
RNAcentral lists this ribosomal RNA (492 nucleotides) under uncultured bacterium. Its description in RNAcentral is "partial 16S ribosomal RNA". It matches the Rfam family "Bacterial small subunit ribosomal RNA", at positions 29 to 507 of the family's 1533-position model. The record is from RNAcentral.